This 972-nucleotide unclassified non-coding RNA is filed under the name Hevea brasiliensis (rubber tree). Lineage: Eukaryota; Viridiplantae; Streptophyta; Magnoliopsida; Malpighiales; Euphorbiaceae. The record is from RNAcentral.
CGCAUACCUUAUCUCUACCUUUAACAGGCAACAACAAACAAUAGCUGCAAUCAGAUUGGAAAUGAACUAAAGGUUGCAGCCUUAAUCAUUCAGUGCUAAGAAAAGAUUUUAACGUCACAUUUUUGGCCGUUAUCCUCUCUUGUUUCUUUGAUAAUCCUAGCUGAGUCGGCAACAUCUUCACUGCAUGAUUUUACCUCAAUGUAUCGCAAACAAUUUAGGUCCUGAAAACCAUCAGGGAUAGCUUUGAGAUGUAAGCAUCCAUGCAAAACCAAUUUCUCAAGGCGAUCGAAGGAUUCCUCAGACACUUCCCAUUUCGAGAGUUUGAGAUUUUCUAGUUCCAAGAGUUUGAGCUGAGAAAACUCCUGAUCUCGUACUUCCCAUUCACCCAUUUCAAAGGCAACUUGUCGCAGUUUAAGUACCUCAAGGUUGACAAGUUUGGCAAUGGUUGAAAUUUCCUCAGGUGGCAAAGGAAAUUUGCAUAAUGUCAGUUUCUUGAGAUUCUCUGGAAAGUUUAAUCUUGAAGGACCAACCUCCGAGAUACCAACAAAGACCACUUUUAGCGUUUCAAGUUGAGAUAAUGAGUCUAAUACAGGAAACCGAUUUUCAUUCUUUCCCCAACGCCCUAAAUCAGUAAAUACACAUCUUAACUUCCGAAGAUUGGGUGUUCUUCUUACCAUCCUUUCCAUAUUGUUCACCCUGGAAACAUAUAUUGAGGAAAAUGUUUCCAAAUUGUCCAGCUUUAAGAAAUUUCCACCACAGGAUUCCUGUGCACCACGCGAAGCAAACAACGCCCCAUCACUAAUGCUAACAUAUCUCAACUUACUCAGCUUCCAAAAAGUAUCUGGCAACCAUACUUGUCCUCCAUUUCUUUUGACUAUGAACGUUUGAAGAUUCCAAAGAUUUUCAAUAGAUGAUGGAAUAGAAUUCUUAGUAGUUUGAACAGCAAGGUACCUUAGCUGAUUAAGUUCAGUG